Molecule: ribosomal RNA, 395 nt
Filed under: uncultured bacterium
Lineage: Bacteria
Description: bacterial SSU rRNA
Rfam family: Bacterial small subunit ribosomal RNA
Source: RNAcentral
GACGAACGCUGGCGGCGUGCCUAACACAUGCAAGUGGAGCGACGAACCAGGCUUCGGCCUGGGGCAAAGCCGCGAACGGGUGAGUAACACGUGGGUAACCUGCCCUGAUGAUUGGGACAACCCGAGGAAACUCGGGCUAAUACCAAAUGUGCCCUUCGGCCACAAGGCCGCUGGGGAAAGGAAGCUUCGGCCUCCGCAUCUGGAUGGGCCCGCGGCCCAUUAGCUUGUUGGUGAGGUAACGGCUCACCAAGGCGACGAUGGGUAGCUGGUCUGAGAGGACGAUCAGCCACACUGGGACUGAGACACGGCCCAGACUCCUACGGGAGGCAGCAGUGGGAAUCUUGCGCAAUGCGCGAAAGCGUGACGCAGCAACGCCGCGUGGGGGAAGACGGCCU